Molecule: long non-coding RNA, 1747 nt
Organism: Toxorhynchites rutilus septentrionalis
Lineage: Eukaryota; Metazoa; Arthropoda; Insecta; Diptera; Culicidae
Exons: 4
Source: RefSeq, a predicted model, not a curated record
UGUAAUAGUAAAAAAAAAUAUAAUUUGUUCAGUGAAAGAAGCAAUUAGGCGCCGUUGUAUGGCUAUUAAAGUACAUAAAGUUGAAGACUCUUCUAUGGAUAGAAGAAGUAUUGAAUUUGAAAAUUGAAUACUCCUGCGAGAGUAAAAUGAAGUGUAACACAAAGCUAAAAUGAAUAGGAUUUGCAUUGUAAAUGAAUCUGAAGGCAAAGUGGCUAAUAAAUUGUAACGAAGCAAAGAAUGAAUUUAUAACACACCAUGUAUGAAGAAUAAACGGAAGUCAUCCGCUCAUAGCAAACGAAUUGCAUUGUAUAACUUCAGGUUAGGAAAUUGAAUGUAAGAAAAACAUAAUAUUGAAAAGAGAAUAUAAGAUGAAACAAUUGCGAAUUAUACAGUAAUAAAAGAUACAGCAUCAGAAGCAUAGAAGAAAAAAUUAUUAGAAACAGAUGCGGCGUAGCUCAAUUGGUAAAUCUGCCUUACGCGAUUUACGAGGGCCGGUAUGUCGCCGCACGGAUCAUGCCUUUAGAGCGUGAUUCAUGGCGAGAACGAUAGAGCGGAUGCUUAGAUCGCGCUCUAUCCUAAAUACACAGAAUAGCUUGCGCAGUGGCUUUAUCGUAACUAAUGAGGUUUUUCCGAAGUGCGAUUAUUGCUAGCUGAAAACCUAAAUAUCAUAAAACUCCUCCGGCCAGCGAUAACCCGCCGGGAAGGAGAACAAAACAAAAAUAAGCAAAACGACGUAAUGUGUUUACGAUCAGAGCCUAUCUCCGAUCGUAAAUACCGAAGGACGGGAGAAAUCCCAAAAAGAGAGCACUAUGGGUGCUAUAAACGGAGCCUAUCUCCGAGCUAGGACAAUAAGUAAUAAAACGGAGAGGAAAAGAUAACACGCCUGCGAGCGUGUUAAUAAUCAUCCCUCGUUCGCCCGUCUGGCUUAGAAUAAAUAAUUGUAAUUUUCUCUCUCUUAUGCUACGCCCUUCUGGGGUAGAUAAGAAGGCAAUGUCUGUAUAUAAGAGAAAACUUGAACAGAAUAAAGGCACUCUCAACUGGACACUCUCAACCAUACCACGGACGUAGGAGCGUCGUGGCGAAGUACCGAACCCCUCUUUUUGUCAUAAACGUAUCACAACCCUGGACAUCGCCCGAGCAUCCUGGACACCAUCGGGAGCACCCUGGACAUCAUCGCCGGCAGAUCCCAGCGCAACAAGCGCUGUAUUUGUUUUACGGUGCUACCAGAAUAGUCUAUAGAAGUAGCUGAAAAUGAGUGGACAGACAAAUCACCACCAGUUUGAACGACUCGUUGAACCAAUGAAAGCGAAUGUAAACAUUGCUCGAGGUAUUUGUGGAGGCAGUUCAAAUAGAAUCCCGGUUAAGGAAAAGUGGGAGGAAUUCAGUGAGGAGACUAAUGCACUGAGAACAUCAAUUGGUCAUGGUUCAGAAUGGCAGAAAAUUUGGGUUGACAUGAGGUGAAAGGUAAAGAAAACACUAGCACACAACAAGCGAGAAUUUAGGGCCCCAGGUGGUAAUACAAUAAAGCUAUUGACGCCGUUAUAACAAGAAAUCGAUGCUAAAAGAAAAUUACAUGCAAAAAAAAUGUUUUGCUAAAAAACGGAAUUCCAUAGAUUGCAGUUGUGAAAAUACAUGAAAAAGUUCAAUUAAAUUGUUCCAUGAUGUCGUUUUUGUUGCACAUCCAUGCAUGCUUUACGCCUAUUAAGCUUCAUUCGUUGAGGGAAUAUCAGUCUUCUCCAAAACAUAA